CUCCUCUAUAUAAACUUCUCUCUUCUUCAAUGUUUGUGGGUUGGGAAAAAUAGUAAAAGAAAUACAUAGAGAUAGGAACAGAACACGGUCCAUACUCUAGUUUAAUUAGAGUAUAGCAAAUAGGUGCGAAAGAAGUUCUUUCUUGUUCUUUGUUCACCGGAGCUUAUCGUAAUUCCGUCGUUGGUAAAGGUUGUUGCUCCCAAAGCUCGUCCAUGUUCCGGUUCGCUACUCAUUAUAAGGUAAAGGCCUUUUCUUAGUCUCGUUCGAUUCGUUUUUGAGUUCAUCCUUGUUUCUUCUGUCUGGGAUUCGUAUUUGUGUAUUGGGAUAUCAUGUGUUAGUUUUAUCUACUAUUUCAUGGAGAUAUACGAUAGAGAUCUUGGUUUCUUUGUUCAUUUGUGUUAGUUAGGGAUUAAAUUCAUUGUUCUUCCCUAAAAUUAUGUUGAUGCAAGAUAUACUUGUGUAUUGCGUAUGUUGCCAGAUGUUAUGUUUCUAAGCUUGAAAAUUAUCUCCUUGUGUAGAUCUUUGCUUGAGAUGUUGAAGAUUCAUGACUUCUUUUUUUGUGAGUUCACUUUUGGUUGGCUACCAUUGUUUGUUUGUUUUCUUAACAUGUCAUAGGUUGAUUAUUUCGCUUGUAUCUUAACUAGCAUGACCAAUAUAAAUCGGAUAGCUUAUUGCCUUACUCUUUUUUUUAUUUAUUUAUUGCGUUUGCUGGUUGAAUAUCUCGUACUAAUUUUGGCUUGUUUGAAGCAUGUCUCUUCGAUCGAUUAACAAAAUGAUGGGUUUGUUUAUAAGUUGACAUGAUUGGUCUUCUAAAAUAUGAUUAGUAAAAUGAUUGGUCUUCUAAAAUAUGUUGUGGUCGAAUGCCGUAAUGGUUUGUGUUUUCUUCUUCUUAGCUUGUCCAUUGUUUUGAGUCAAACAUAAGUGACUUAUGUUAGUUCAAAAUUGACUCCGCGAGUUGAUCAGAUUUUUUUUGACUGUUUGUUGUUUAUUCAUAAAGAUUGGAUGUUUAUUUAGUAUUCUAGCUCCGAAUAUUGAUAACCUAUCUUGAUAUUUGAGUUUCUCAUUGGUUCUCUUAUCUUGUGUGAAUCUGUUUAGUUUGUUCAAUUACGAGGAUUUGCAGUUGUUUAGUUUGUUUAGAAAUUUGUGAGAUUUCUUAAAUUACAAUCACUGCAUUUGGGCUUAGAUUGAAAGCUAAGACCAACACGUCCCUUUGGAAUUUUAGCCUUUUGAUUAAUCACUUCCUAGUCUAAAUACUACUGCCUCCAUUAUCCCGCAAUUAUUUUGUUAACUUUGCUGCAAAUAGAUGCUAAUUCUCUUAUUUGUUUAUCUCUUUGCAUGAAAUUUAUUCCAUUUGAGUCCAUCAUGGACUCCACCUCCUCGCCUUGCAUUUCAGUUGGGCCACGAAGGCCCAAGUUUGCCCUUAUCGAGUCAGCACUCAUUUCCGAGCUAAGGAUAUUGAAGAAUAAGUCCAGAAAAUCGAUGUACAUAUGUUUGGAGCUUAUAUACGAGAUUGUAUGCACUAGUAUACAACUAGUGUAUACAAAAAUGGAAAUGGGCCUAAUGGACCCGAAAUUCAGCUCGUAUUCUGUUAUUUUUGGGCCAAGUCCCUUUAUUGUAAUUAUUAUUAUUUGUUAGUUAUUAAGACAGAUACAAGGAGACAAGAAUUGGGCCAAAGGCCCAAAGAAAAGCAAAUUUCAAAGAUUAGUUUAGGACAUGUACUAAAUAUUGGGUCUUUGGUCCCAAAGCAAAAAAUUAGGCCCAAGUAUUGGCCCAGGCGGACAUAAUACCAGACUUGGGCCCAAACUCUCUCUCUCCUUUUAUUUUUAUCUGCUUCGUAUUUGUUGAAGUGGUUAUUUGCUAGUCAAUUUUAAGGUUCCUAAUUCGAUUUCCCCAAAAGAUAGUCAAUUCAGGAUUUUCUAAAGACUAAAUAAUCAUGCUUAUUUUUCUACUUAAAUUAUGUUAAUUUUACUUAAUAAUAUUUUUAAUAUUUCCCUCUCCCC
RNAcentral lists this long non-coding RNA (2000 nucleotides) under Solanum tuberosum (potato). RNAcentral's name for it is "long non-coding RNA (STUB_LNC011638)". The record is from RNAcentral. Lineage: Eukaryota; Viridiplantae; Streptophyta; Magnoliopsida; Solanales; Solanaceae.